UAGUCAUAUGCUUGUCUCAGAGAUUAAGCCAUGCAUGUCUCAGUGUAAACUUUUAAACAGUGAAACUGCGAAUGGCUCAUUAAAACAGUUAUAGUUUAUUUGAUAAUCAUUUUUACAUGGAUAACCGUGGGAAUUCUAGGGCUAAUACAUGCGUAAACCCGCAAGGGUGUGUUUAUUAGAUUACAACCAUCUCAGUGGCAACACUGGUGAAUUGGAAUGAUAAUAACCGAUCGAAUCGCACGCUUAAUGUGGCGAUAAAUCAUUCAAGUUUCUGAC
This 276-nucleotide ribosomal RNA is filed under the name uncultured eukaryote. Its description in RNAcentral is "partial 18S ribosomal RNA". It matches the Rfam family "Eukaryotic small subunit ribosomal RNA", at positions 21 to 311 of the family's 1831-position model. The record is from RNAcentral.